GAUGAUGCGUAGUGGUCUACUAAUUAAAUUGCAAAUUUAAUAUUGAAAGUUCAAUUCUUUCCAUUAUCU
RNAcentral lists this transfer RNA (69 nucleotides) under Schizosaccharomyces japonicus. RNAcentral's name for it is "tRNA-Cys". It matches the Rfam family "tRNA". From Rfam's summary of the family: Transfer RNA (tRNA) molecules are approximately 80 nucleotides in length. Their secondary structure includes four short double-helical elements and three loops (D, anti-codon, and T loops). The record is from RNAcentral. Lineage: Eukaryota; Fungi; Ascomycota; Schizosaccharomycetes; Schizosaccharomycetales; Schizosaccharomycetaceae.